Molecule: ribosomal RNA, 1342 nt
Filed under: uncultured bacterium
Lineage: Bacteria
Description: 16S ribosomal RNA
Rfam family: Bacterial small subunit ribosomal RNA
Source: RNAcentral
GACGAACGCUGGCGGCGUGCUUAACACAUGCAAGUCGAACGGAAAGGCCCUGCUUUUGUGGGGUGCUCGAGUGGCGAACGGGUGAGUAACACGUGAGUAACCUGCCCUUGACUUUGGGAUAACUUCAGGAAACUGGGGCUAAUACCGGAUAGGAGCUCCUGCUGCAUGGUGGGGGUUGGAAAGUUUCGGCGGUUGGGGAUGGACUCGCGGCUUAUCAGCUUGUUGGUGGGGUAGUGGCUUACCAAGGCUUUGACGGGUAGCCGGCCUGAGAGGGUGACCGGCCACAUUGGGACUGAGAUACGGCCCAGACUCCUACGGGAGGCAGCAGUGGGGAAUAUUGCACAAUGGGCGGAAGCCUGAUGCAGCAACGCCGCGUGCGGGAUGACGGCCUUCGGGUUGUAAACCGCUUUCGCCUGUGACGAAGCGUGAGUGACGGUAAUGGGUAAAGAAGCACCGGCUAACUACGUGCCAGCAGCCGCGGUGAUACGUAGGGUGCGAGCGUUGUCCGGAUUUAUUGGGCGUAAGGGCUCGUAGGUGGUUGAUCGCGUCGGAAGUGUAAUCUUGGGGCUUAACCCUGAGCGUGCUUUCGAUACGGGUUGACUUGAGGAAGGUAGGGGAGAAUGGAAUUCCUGGUGGAGCGGUGGAAUGCGCAGAUAUCAGGAGGAACACCAGUGGCGAAGGCGGUUCUCUGGGCCUUUCCUGACGCUGAGGAGCGAAAGCGUGGGGAGCGAACAGGCUUAGAUACCCUGGUAGUCCACGCUGUAAACGGUGGGUACUAGGUGUGGGGUCCAUUCCACGGGUUCCGUGCCGUAGCUAACGCUUUAAGUACCCCGCCUGGGGAGUACGGCCGCAAGGCUAAAACUCAAAGGAAUUGACGGGGCCCCGCACAAGCGGCGGAGCAUGCGGAUUAAUUCGAUGCAACGCGUAGAACCUUACCUGGGUUUGACAUGGAUCGGGAGUGCUCAGAGAUGGGUGUGCCUCUUUUGGGGUCGGUUCACAGGUGGUGCAUGGCUGUCGUCAGCUCGUGUCGUGAGAUGUUGGGUUAAGUCCCGCAACGAGCGCAACCCUUGUUCACUGUUGCCAGCACGUUAUGGUGGGGACUCAGUGGAGACCGCCGGGGUCAACUCGGAGGAAGGUGGGGAUGACGUCAAGUCAUCAUGCCCCUUAUGUCCAGGGCUUCACGCAUGCUACAAUGGCUGGUACAGAGAGUGGCGAGCCUGUGAGGGUGAGCGAAUCUCGGAAAGCCGGUCUCAGUUCGGAUUGGGGUCUGCAACUCGACCUCAUGAAGUCGGAGUCGCUAGUAAUCGCAGAUCAGCAACGCCGCGGUGAAUACGUUCCCGGG